CACAGAAGGGGUUCAGCCAAACUGGGAUUUUAUAAUACGAACGGAAUCCGAACUGACCGAAGCUUCAUAUUUCGUAAUAUACGUUCUGUAGUCUCAAUGGAAAUUCAGCAUAAAUGCAGUGUAAAAACAACACACCUGAGAUCAGCUGACGGCAAUACGCAGUUUUUAAUCAGAUUAGGCAUUAUAGCUGACAGGGGAGAUAGCGCUGAGAUAUGCGGUGGUCCUGGUUGCUUAGGCGUCAUCGUCGCGCAUGCGCACUCGGGACAAACCUCUUUAUAUUGACCUACCGGCUCAGUCUCCGUCGUUAAGGUGGGCUGGUAAAAUGCAUGUCUGGGCUAUUGGCAUGGGACAUGGCGCGUUGUCUUAGGGAGUCCACCGUUAUUGCCGUCAUGAUGGUGUUUCGCUGCUUCGCCGAGCUCGUUUGCUCUGCGGAUGGUGUCCUGUUGUUUGCCCUCGGAUCCCAAAGUCUUGACCCCCUACCUGGCUGCAUGGCAACUAGCGGGACCCACAUGGGCUCUCAGGAGUGUGAGGACGCUGUGGAAAUCCAGGGAUAGAGAAAACAUCCCUGAAUAACUGACUGCAGCAGCCCCAGCAGGAGGCAGUGAAGCGCACGCUCAGGAGGUAUGGAAGUAGCAGUAUGGUUCUCUCUCUCUCUCUGAAGAGGAAGGGGUGCAGGUACCCCCCCUCCCAGAAGGCGUAACACGGAUGAUGGGAUGGACCUGGAUAGAUUCCCCAAACGAAAGCGAAGAUGUCAGGGACGAGACACCGCUGAGUCAGUGUGGAGGUGUGUCUGUUGAGCACAGAGCUGGCGUCCUCACCGUGCCGGAUUAACCGCUAAACAGCUUUAUGCUUCUGCUUGUGUGCUGAUCUAAACGAGAUCACCUCCUGAUCACCAUCUGCAGUCCACUUUAAUCUCAUGAAUCUCAACUCCCUACUUGAGACAAGCUAGGAUGUCAGGGGUAUCAUGGGUUUAAUUUCCAGUUCUUACAGUCCAGUGACUUAUUCAUCACGAAACACAGUCCUAGAUCAAACUAAUGAGCCUCUCCCUGGCAGGUGCCCAGACUGAGAAGCCAGAGGAAGAGAUUCAACCAGGUCCAUCAUCCUGGUUCAGACCUGCAAUCGGACAUGUUGGCAGGGAGCCAGACAAAGGAGGAGACUCUGAAUAGGAUGAGUCAGCAUUGUUGAAUAUUCAAAAAUCUUAAUAGUAAAUGCACUCAAAUAUUAUUUAGCAGCAAUAUAUUCAUUCUGAAGUUUCUCUCUACUGCUUUGUGCGAGCUCUGCGUGAGCUUAACAAGCCAAUCACCAUCAUUUCUGUCCAUGCUCACUCAGCAUGGCAUGUUUGUGAAAUUAAUAAAUAUGCAUGGGGCAAAUGAGAACUGACCACCAGAAGACGUGUGGAAAUAUUUUGGAUUCCAUAGAGAAAAUAUUGAGCAAAAUCAAGUGAUUUGUCAGCACUGAUGUCGCUGUUAAUUUUAUUUGUACAUUUUGUCAUAGUUGGUAGUUAAAAAUGUCAAUUUAUGUUCUGUGAAAUUCAGUUCUAUAUUUUGAAUUGUGAAGUAGUCAGUAGUAGAUAAUUCUGUUUGGCUAUAGUUUAUCAGGUAACUUUUCAACUAUUUUGUGUUAAAUAUAAUUAUUGCCUUUUGAACUUUAAUCCAAUGUCGCUCAACCCUAGUUUCAAGGCUACAUUAAUAUUGUCAUUCUUUUGCAGCAGUGAGUGAUGUCUUUUGUAUGGAAAUCAACUGAGAAGCCUGUAAGCCAGAAAAGUUAGUAUUGUGUCAAAAAGAAAUCAUUUGGUGUAACUGCCCAAAGAACAAGCUAUUAUACAUUAUUGAAUGCUACUAUA
This is a non-coding RNA of Paramormyrops kingsleyae, 1843 nucleotides long. Lineage: Eukaryota; Metazoa; Chordata; Actinopteri; Osteoglossiformes; Mormyridae. The record is from RefSeq and is a predicted model, not a curated record.